GAUGAAGAACGUAGCGAAAUGCGAUAAGUAAUGUGAAUUGCAGAAUUCAGUGAAUCAUCGAAUCUUUGAACGCACCUUGCGCUCCCUGGUAUUCCGAGGAGCAUGCCUGUUUGAGUGUCAUGAAAUUCUCAACCUUUUCAGCUUUCUUUGUUGAUCAGGCUUGGAUGUGGGAGUAUGCGGGCUUCUCAGAAGUCGGCUCUCCUGAAAUGCAUUAGCGGGACCUUUGUUGCCUGGCUUUGGUGUGAUAAUUAUCUACGCCAUUGUAGUCAAGCAGCUUAAAAUGAGGUUUCAGCUUCUAACCGUCUCCCCUGAGACAACUUUUUGACAAUUUGACCUCAAAUCAGGUAGGACUACCCGCUGAACUUAAGCAUAUCAAUAAGCGGAGGA
This 387-nucleotide unclassified non-coding RNA is filed under the name soil metagenome. Its description in RNAcentral is "partial contains 5.8S ribosomal RNA, internal transcribed spacer 2, and large subunit ribosomal RNA". The stretch from base 1 to 120 matches the Rfam family "5.8S ribosomal RNA", at positions 35 to 154 of the family's 154-position model. The record is from RNAcentral.